Molecule: ribosomal RNA, 253 nt
Filed under: uncultured bacterium
Lineage: Bacteria
Description: partial 16S ribosomal RNA
Rfam family: Bacterial small subunit ribosomal RNA
Source: RNAcentral
UACAGAGGGGGCAAGCGUUGUUCGGAAUUACUAGGCGUAAAGGGCGCGUAGGCGGUCCUGUAAGUCUUGUGUGAAAUCCCUCGGCUUAACUGAGGAACUGCACGAGAUACUGCGAGACUUGAGUUCGGGAGAGGAAAGCGGAAUUCCGGGUGUAGCGGUGAAAUGCGUAGAUAUCCGGAGGAACACCGGUGGCGAAGGCGGCUUUCUGGACCGACACUGACGCUGAGGCGCGAAAGCUAGGGGAGCAAACGGG